CCUACGGGAGGCAGCAGUGAGGAAUAUUGGUCAAUGGGCGGGAGCCUGAACCAGCCAAGCCGCGUGAGGGAAGAAGGUACAGCGUAUCGUAAACUUCUUUUGUCAGGGAACAAAGGCGGGGACUAGUCCCCGGAUGAGGGUACCUGAAGAAAAAGCAUCGGCUAACUCCGUGCCGGCAGCCGCGGUAAUACGGAGGAUGCGAGCGUUAUCCGGAUUUAUUGGGUUUAAAGGGUGCGCAGGCGGCCAGUUAAGUCAGCGGUAAAAGUCCGGGGCUCAACCCCGGCGAGCCGUUGAAACUGGCGGGCUGGAGUUGGAGAGAGGUACGCGGAAUGCGCGGUGUAGCGGUGAAAUGCUUAGAUAUCGCGCAGAACACCGAUUGCGAAGGCAGCGUACCGGCUCCACACUGACGCUGAGGCACGAAAGCGUGGGUAGCGAACAGGAUUAGAUACCCGGGUAGUC
RNAcentral lists this ribosomal RNA (459 nucleotides) under uncultured bacterium. RNAcentral's name for it is "partial 16S ribosomal RNA". It matches the Rfam family "Bacterial small subunit ribosomal RNA", at positions 338 to 795 of the family's 1533-position model. The record is from RNAcentral.